GAUGAACGCUGACAGAAUGCUUAACACAUGCAAGUCAACUUGAACUUCGGUUUGGGUGGCGGACGGGUGAGUAACGCGUAAAGAACUUGCCUCACAGAUAGGGACAACAUUUGGAAACGAAUGCUAAUACCUGAUAUUAUGAUUAUAUGGCAUCGUAUAAUUAUGAAAGCUAUAUGCGCUGUGAGAGAGCUUUGCGUCCCAUUAGCUAGUUGGAGAGGUAACGGCUCACCAAGGCGAUGAUGGGUAGCCGGCCUGAGAGGGUGAUCGGCCACAAGGGGACUGAGACACGGCCCUUACUCCUACGGGAGGCAGCAGUGGGGAAUAUUGGACAAUGGACCAAGAGUCUGAUCCAGCAAUUCUGUGUGCACGAUGAAGUUUUUCGGAAUGUAAAGUGCUUUCAGUUGGGAAGAAAAAAAUGACGGUGCCAACAGAAGAAGUGACGGCUAAAUACGUG
RNAcentral lists this ribosomal RNA (454 nucleotides) under uncultured bacterium. Its description in RNAcentral is "partial 16S ribosomal RNA". It matches the Rfam family "Bacterial small subunit ribosomal RNA", at positions 28 to 507 of the family's 1533-position model. The record is from RNAcentral.